UUUCCGUAGGUGAACCUGCGGAAGGAUCAUUAUUGUAUAACCGCGGGGCGAGGGCUGUCGCUGACCCGAAAGGUCGUGCACGCCCGAGUGCCCUCACACACAUCCAUCUCACCCCUUUGUGCACCACCGCGUGGGUCCCCCUUUGGCUUGUUCGGAGGGGGGCUUACGUUUUCACACAAACUUUGUAUGCAGUGUAGAAUGUAUUUUUUGUUUUUGCGAUCACGCAAUCAAUACAACUUUCAACAACGGAUCUCUUGGCUCUC
Molecule: unclassified non-coding RNA, 263 nt
Filed under: plant metagenome
Description: partial contains small subunit ribosomal RNA, internal transcribed spacer 1, and 5.8S ribosomal RNA
Source: RNAcentral